GAUGAAGAACGUAGCAAAAUGCGAUAAGUAAUGUGAAUUGCAGAAUUCAGUGAAUCAUCGAAUCUUUGAACGCACAUUGCGCCCGCUGGUAUUCCGGCGGGCAUGCCUGUUCGAGCGUCAUUUCAACCCUCAAGCCCCCGGGUUUGGUGUUGGGGAUCGGCUCUGCCCUCUGGGCGGUGCCGCCCCCGAAAUACAUUGGCGGUCUCGCCGCAGCCUCCAUUGCGUAGUAGCUAACACCUCGCAACUGGAACGCGGCGCGGCCAUGCCGUAAAACCCCAACUUCUGAAUGUUGACCUCGGAUCAGGUAGGAAUACCCGCUGAACUUAAGCAUAUCAAUAAGCGGAGGA
RNAcentral lists this unclassified non-coding RNA (347 nucleotides) under soil metagenome. RNAcentral's name for it is "partial contains 5.8S ribosomal RNA, internal transcribed spacer 2, and large subunit ribosomal RNA". The stretch from base 1 to 120 matches the Rfam family "5.8S ribosomal RNA", at positions 35 to 154 of the family's 154-position model. The record is from RNAcentral.